CAAAAACAUCGCCUCCUGCAAAACUUACGACGUAUAGGAGGUCCUGCCUGCCCAGUGACUAUGUUAAAUGGCCGCGGUAUCUUGACCGUGCUAAGGUAGCGCAAUCACUUGUCUUUUAAAUGGAGACCUGUAUGAAUGGCAAGACGAGGGCUUAACUGUCUCCUCUUUUUGGUCAGUGAAAUUGAUCUACCCGUGCAGAAGCGGGUAUAAAAAUACAAGACGAGAAGACCCUUUGGAGCUUAAGACCUAAGACCAACCCUGUUAAGUUAUUAACUUAAUAUUAAAAAAACAAUUAAAUACCUGGCCUACGUCUUCGGUUGGGGCGACCACGGGGGAAAACAAAGCCCCCAUGUGGAAUGGGGUAUACCCUAGAUCCAAGAGAGACAUCUCUAAGCCACAGAACAUCUGACCUAAUUAGAUCCGGCCCCUUGGCCGAUUAACGAACCAAGUUACCCUAGGGAUAACAGCGCAAUCCCCUUUAAGAGUCCAUAUCGACGAGGGGGUUUACGACCUCGAUGUUGGAUCAGGACAUCCUAAUGGUGCAGCCGCUAUUAAGGGUUCGUUUGUUCAACGAUUAAAGUCCUACGUGAUCUGAG
Molecule: ribosomal RNA, 596 nt
Filed under: Boulengerella maculata (spotted pike-characin)
Lineage: Eukaryota; Metazoa; Chordata; Actinopteri; Characiformes; Ctenoluciidae
Description: partial 16S large subunit ribosomal RNA
Rfam family: Bacterial large subunit ribosomal RNA
Source: RNAcentral